RNAcentral lists this ribosomal RNA (482 nucleotides) under uncultured bacterium. RNAcentral describes it as "bacterial SSU rRNA". It matches the Rfam family "Bacterial small subunit ribosomal RNA", at positions 355 to 853 of the family's 1533-position model. The record is from RNAcentral.
CGGGGAAUCUUAGACAACGGGGGCAACCCUGAUCCAGCCAUGCCGCGUGAGUGAUGAAGGCCUUAGGGUCGUAAAGCUCUUUCGCCUGUGAUGAUAAUGACAGUAGCAGGUGAAAGAAACCCCGGCUAACUCCGUGCCAGCAGCCGCGGUAAUACGGAGGGGGCUAGCGUUGUUCGGAAUUACUGGGCGUAAAGCGCGCGUAGGCGGAUUAGAAAGCUGGGGGUGAAAUCCCGGGGCUCAACCUCGGAACUGCCUCCAAAACUGCUAGUCUAGAGUUCGAGAGAGGUGAGUGGAAUUCCGAGUGUAGAGGUGAAAUUCGUAGAUAUUCGGAGGAACACCAGUGGCGAAGGCGGCUCACUGGCCUCGAUACUGACGCUGAGGUGCGAAAGUGUGGGGAGCAAACAGGAUUAGAUACCCUGGUAGUCCACACCGUAAACGAUGAAUGCCAGUCGUCGGGUAGUAUACUAUUCGGUGACACACCU